RNAcentral lists this ribosomal RNA (497 nucleotides) under uncultured bacterium. RNAcentral describes it as "partial 16S ribosomal RNA". It matches the Rfam family "Bacterial small subunit ribosomal RNA", at positions 28 to 507 of the family's 1533-position model. The record is from RNAcentral.
GACGAACGCUGGCGGCGUGCCUAAUACAUGCCAGUAGAACGCUGAAGCGAGGAGCUUACUCUUCUUGGAUGAGUUGCGAACGGGUGAGUAACGCGUAGGUAACCUGCCUUGUAGCGGGGGAUAACUAUUGGAAACGAUAGCUAAUACCGCAUAACAAUGGAUGACACAUGUCAUUUAUUUGAAAGGGGCAAUUGCUCCACUACAAGAUGGACCUGCGUUGUAUUAGCUAGUAGGUGAGGUAAUGGCUCACCUAGGCGACGAUACAUAGCCGACCUGAGAGGGUGAUCGGCCACACUGGGACUGGGACACGGCCCAGACUCCUACGGGAGGCAGCAGUAGGGAAUCUUCGGCAAUGGGGGCAACCCUGACCGAGCAACGCCGCGUGAGUGAAGAAGGUUUUCGGAUCGUAAAGCUCUGUUGUAAGUCAAGAACGGGUGUGAGAGUGGAAAGUUCACACUGUGACGGUAGCUUACCAGAAAGGGACGGCUAACUACGUG